RNAcentral lists this ribosomal RNA (582 nucleotides) under uncultured bacterium. Its description in RNAcentral is "bacterial SSU rRNA". It matches the Rfam family "Bacterial small subunit ribosomal RNA", at positions 28 to 645 of the family's 1533-position model. The record is from RNAcentral.
AUUGAACGCUGGCGGCAUGGUUAAAGCAUGCAAGUCGAACGAGAACCCGCCUUCGGGCGGGGGACAGUGGCGAAAGGGUGAGUAAUGCGCUCCUUAUGUGCCCCGAGGUGGGGGAUAGGUCGGGGAAACCCGGCAUAAUACCCCAUGUGCUCUACGGAGGAAAGGUUUUCCGCCUCGGGAGCAGGGAGCGUCCUAUCAGGUUGUUGGUGAGGUAACGGCUCACCAAGCCUUAGACGGGUAGCGGGUGUGAGAGCAUGACCCGCCGCAUCGGGACUGAGACACUGCCCGGACUCCUACGGGAGGCUGCAGCGACGAAUCUUCCGCAAUGCGCGAAAGCGUGACGGAGCAAUGCCGCGUGCGGGAUGAAGCGGCUCCGCCGUGUAAACCGCUGUCAGGGGCUAGAAAUAUUGAUCAACCCCAAAGGAAGGGCCGGCUAACCUCGUGCCAGCAGCCGCGGUAAUACGAGGGGCCCGAGCGUUAAUCGGAAUCACUGGGCUUAAAGGGUGCGCAGGCGGAUGCGCAAGCGUCCUGUGAAAUACCUCAGCUCAACUGAGGAAUUGCAGGGCGAACUGCGUGUCUGAG